AGGGCACCGUGUCCACCCACAACAAUGGGUCAGCGACGGACAACACAGUGCAGACUGAGUGGUCAGGGCACGCUUCAUGAAAGAGUGCCAGGUGAGGUGUCCAGCGAGGUGUCACAGCCCCGGCAGUAGAGAGUGGUUCGCUCAUGGGUAGCAAGAAGAAUUUACCAACAACAGCAUAGGCUUGAAAUGGAAUGUCUUAUUAGAUGGGAAGAACGCUGCAGCCGAGUGCAGAGGGGCAUCUCAGCAAGAGAGGACUGAGUGCACCGCGGUGGAUUAUCCUUCACGGUCACUCUCGAGCCAGACAGCGAGCCAGACAGUGGGUUUAAACCUGAGCUGCACCUCAUGCUGGCUGGGUUUCCUUUGUGCUGAACACAUCUGCCUUCCCAGUAGACACUGACGGAGCUUCUGAAGAACAAGUUUUCUCCUUCUUGUGUCCCAGGCUUGCUGAAGGGCGUGACAUUUAAAUGUUUGCAUUUACUUGAAUCGCACAUUAUUGAAUCUGAUAAAACUGAAAGAUUUUCAGGAGAAGAUAAUGUCUAGCUCUUGACAGACAAAUUUGUACAUCAACUUGCAACUAUCCACACCUGGGAGCUUGUUAAGAGCACCAAGUCUUGGGUUCCAUCCCAAAACUACUGGAUCAAAAUCUACAUAUUUAACAAGAUCUCCAGUUCACAUCAGUGCUGAAGAGGUUCUGCAGCCGUAAAGGUGGAUGUUUCCAUGAGUGUUCGGGACAUCAAUUCAUCCUCAUUAGACAUUAGAUCCAUGCUGGGAAUCUUCAGGUCAGCAAUUUGAACCAGCCCCAGAUCCACCAAAGCUGCAGUCAGAAGAACAAGACACAGAGAAGGAGUGACAAGAACCAGAAAGCUUCCGAGAGUGCAAGCGUUUUUUUCUUUAUCCGAUUCGAUGCUCUGGAGAAAAUUAAACAGUUAAAUCAGUCAC
Long non-coding RNA from Pongo pygmaeus (Bornean orangutan), 939 nucleotides. RefSeq lists it as uncharacterized. Lineage: Eukaryota; Metazoa; Chordata; Mammalia; Primates; Hominidae. The transcript is spliced from 5 exons. The record is from RefSeq and is a predicted model, not a curated record.